AGCAGUCGCCGCGGUAAUACGUAGGGUGCGAGCGUUGUCCGGAAUUACUGGGCGUAAAGAGCACGUAGGCGGAUAUUUAAGUCAGGGGUGAAAUCCCGCAGCUCAACUGCGGAACUGCCUUUGAUACUGGGUAUCUUGAGUAUGGAAGAGGUUAGUGGAAUUGCGAGUGUAGAGGUGAAAUUCGUAGAUAUUCGCAGGAACACCAGUGGCGAAGGCAGCUUACUAAGGUAUGAUUGACGCUGAUGCACGAAAGCGUGGGGAUCAAACAGGAUUAGAUACCCGCGUAGUCCCUGUCUCUUAUAC
RNAcentral lists this ribosomal RNA (303 nucleotides) under uncultured bacterium. Its description in RNAcentral is "partial 16S ribosomal RNA". It matches the Rfam family "Bacterial small subunit ribosomal RNA", at positions 507 to 807 of the family's 1533-position model. The record is from RNAcentral.